GAUGAACGCUGUCUACAGGCUUAACACAUGCCAGUCGAGGGGAAACGACGGGGAAGCUUGCUUCCCCGGGCGUCGACCGGCGCACGGGUGAGUAACGCGUAUCCAACCUGCCUCUGACUGAGGGAUAACCCGUCGAAAGUCGGCCUAAUACCUCAUGGCAUCGUCUGCGGGCAUCCAACGACGAUUAAAGAUUUCAUCGGUCAGGGAUGGGGAUGCGUCUGAUUAGCUUGUUGGCGGGGUAACGGCCCACCAAGGCUACGAUCAGUAGGGGUUCUGAGAGGAAGGUCCCCCACAUUGGAACUGAGACACGGUCCAAACUCCUACGGGAGGCAGCAGUGAGGAAUAUUGGUCAAUGGGCGGGAGCCUGAACCAGCCAAGUAGCGUGCAGGAUGACGGCCCUAUGGGUUGUAAACUGCUUUUAUGCGGGGAUAAAGUGAGGGACGUGUCCUUCAUUGCAGGUACCGCAUGAAUAAGGACCGGCUAAUUCCGUG
Molecule: ribosomal RNA, 491 nt
Filed under: uncultured bacterium
Lineage: Bacteria
Description: partial 16S ribosomal RNA
Rfam family: Bacterial small subunit ribosomal RNA
Source: RNAcentral